This 460-nucleotide ribosomal RNA is filed under the name uncultured bacterium. RNAcentral's name for it is "partial 16S ribosomal RNA". It matches the Rfam family "Bacterial small subunit ribosomal RNA", at positions 338 to 795 of the family's 1533-position model. The record is from RNAcentral.
CCUACGUGAGGCAGCAGUGAGGAAUAUUGGUCAAUGGGCGGAAGCCUGAACCAGCCAAGUCGCGUGAGGGAAUAAGGCCCUACGGUUCGUAAACCUCUUUUGCCGGGGAGAAAGGGCCGGGACGCGUCCCGGCCCGGCGAGUACCCGGAGUAACAGCAUCGGCUAACUCCGUGCCAGCAGCCGCGGUAAUACGGAGGAUGCGAGCGUUAUCCGGAUUUAUUGGGUGUAAAGGGUGCGUAGGCGGGCUUUUAAGUCAGCGGUAAAAAUUCGGGGCUCAACCCCGUCCGGCCGUUGAAACUGGGGGCCGUGAGUGGGCGAGAAGAAGGCGGAAUUCGUGGUGUAGCGGUGAAAUGCUUAGAUAUCACGAAGAACUCCGAUUGCGAAGGCAGCUUACUAAACUGCCACUGACAUUGAUGCUCGAAAGUGUGGGUAUCAAACAGGAUUAGAUACCCCAGUAGUC